CAGUUAAAGCUCGUAGUUGAAUUUCUGGUCUCGGACAGCGGUCUGCCUCAAACGAGGUGCGCACCACCUGUUCAGGUCCAUCCUCGGAGAAAACAUGCCUGUGAUUCAGUUCAUGGGUAUGGGAUCUUCGUCAUUUACUGUGAGCAAAAUAGAGUGUUCAAAGCAGGCUUAUGCCGUUGAAUACAUUAGCAUGGAAUAAUAAAAUAAGACCUUGGUCUAUUUUGUUGGUUUGUACUCCAAGGUAAUGAUUAAUAGGGAUAGUUGGGGGUAUUCGUAUUCAAUUGUCAGAGGUGAAAUUCUUGGAUUUAUGGAAGACGAACUACUGCGAAAGCAUUUACCAAGGAUGUUUUCAUUAAUCAAGAACGAAAGUUAGGGGAUCGAAGAUGAUUAGAUACCAUCGUAGUCUUAACCAUAAACUAUGCCGACUAGGGAUUGGUGGACGUUCGUUAUGACUUCAUCAGCACCUUAUGAGAAAUCAAAGUCUUUGGGUUCCGGGGGGGAGUAUGGUCGCAAGGCUGAAACUUAAAGAAAAUGACGGAAGGGCACCACCAGGAGUGGGAGCCUGCGGCUUAAUUUGACUCAACACGGGGAAACUUACCAGGUCCAGACAUAGUGAGGGAUUGACAGAAUUGAUAGCUCCUUUCCUUGAUUCUAUUGGUUGUUGUGGCAAGGCCGUUCU
RNAcentral lists this ribosomal RNA (679 nucleotides) under uncultured Chrysophyceae. RNAcentral describes it as "SSU rRNA". It matches the Rfam family "Eukaryotic small subunit ribosomal RNA", at positions 616 to 1294 of the family's 1831-position model. Lineage: Eukaryota; Chrysophyceae. The record is from RNAcentral.